AUUGAACGCUGGCGGCAGGCCUAACACAUGCCAGUCGAGCGGAUGAAGGGAGCUUGCUCCUGGAUUCAGCGGCGGACGGGUGAGUAAUGCCUAGGAAUCUGCCUGGUAGUGGGGGAUAACGUCCGGAAACGGGCGCUAAUACCGCAUACGUCCUGAGGGAGAAAGUGGGGGAUCUUCGGACCUCACGCUAUCAGAUGAGCCUAGGUCGGAUUAGCUAGUUGGUGGGGUAAAGGCCUACCUAGGCGACGAUCCGUAACUGGUCUGAGAGGAUGAUCAGUCACACUGGAACUGAGACACGGUCCAGACUCCUACGGGAGGCAGCAGUGGGGAAUAUUGGACAAUGGGCGAAAGCCUGAUCCAGCCAUGCCGCGUGUGUGAAGAAGGUCUUCGGAUUGUAAAGCACUUUAAGUUGGGAGGAAGGGCAGUAAGUUAAUACCUUGCUGUUUUGACGUUACCAACAGGAUAAGCACCGGCUAACUUCGUG
RNAcentral lists this ribosomal RNA (484 nucleotides) under uncultured bacterium. RNAcentral describes it as "partial 16S ribosomal RNA". It matches the Rfam family "Bacterial small subunit ribosomal RNA", at positions 30 to 507 of the family's 1533-position model. The record is from RNAcentral.